Molecule: long non-coding RNA, 473 nt
Organism: Mesocricetus auratus (golden hamster)
Lineage: Eukaryota; Metazoa; Chordata; Mammalia; Rodentia; Cricetidae
Exons: 2
Source: RefSeq, a predicted model, not a curated record
GCCAGUGUACAUGCACAGAAACAACAAAAACAAUUGUAGUCAGUGUGCCCACUGAUGGAUGCCUUCCUUGGUGUCUACAUUCUUCCCCGAAGAUAAAUGCAUCCAGGAAGAUGGUAACCCAUGGUAACCAUGAACUGUGUGAGGGAGGAAAAGUCCUUAGGAGGUGUGCGCAGUGUUUCCUUGGUACUGUGUAUCAUGUGCCUGCCUAAUGCCUGCAGAAGCCAGAAAAGAACAUUGGAGCCCCUGGGACUGGAGUUUACAGACAGUUGUGAGUUGUCGUGUGAGUGCGGGGAAUUGAACCCAAGUCCUCUGGAAGAUCAUCCAGUGCUCUUAACCUCUAAGCCUUCCUCUAUAUUUUAUAUUACUGAGAAUCUGAAAAUCCAUACCUAUCCUGUACCAUCCACUUGUAUUUUAAAGGAAACAUCUUUGUUCUCUUAAUCUCCAAAUCAAUAAAGAUUAUUGAGACAACAAUA